GAUGAACGCUGGCGGCGUGCCUAAUACAUGCAAGUCGAGCGAACAGACGAGGAGCUUGCUCCUCUGACGUUAGCGGCGGACGGGUGAGUAACAUGUGGAUAACCUACCUAUAAGACUGGGAUAACUUCGGGAAACCGGAGCUAAUACCGGAUAAUAUAUUGAACCGCAUGGUUCAAUAGUGAAAGACGGUUUUGCUGUCACUUAUAGAUGGAUCCGCGCCGCAUUAGCUAGUUGGUAAGGUAACGGCUUACCAAGGCAACGAUGCGUAGCUGACCUGAGAGGGUGAUCGGCCACACUGGAACUGAGACACGGUCCAGACUCCUACGGGAGGCAGCAGUAGGGAAUCUUCCGCAAUGGGCGAAAGCCUGACGGAGCAACGCCGCGUGAGUGAUGAAGGUCUUCGGAGCGUAAAACUCUGUUAUUAGGGAAGAACAAAUGUGUAAGUAACUAUGCACGUCUUGACGGUACCUAAUCAGAAAGCCACGGCUAACUACGUG
This 497-nucleotide ribosomal RNA is filed under the name uncultured bacterium. Its description in RNAcentral is "partial 16S ribosomal RNA". It matches the Rfam family "Bacterial small subunit ribosomal RNA", at positions 28 to 507 of the family's 1533-position model. The record is from RNAcentral.